RNAcentral lists this ribosomal RNA (460 nucleotides) under uncultured bacterium. RNAcentral describes it as "partial 16S ribosomal RNA". It matches the Rfam family "Bacterial small subunit ribosomal RNA", at positions 338 to 795 of the family's 1533-position model. The record is from RNAcentral.
GCUACGGGGGGCAGCAGUGAGGAAUAUUGGUCAAUGGACGAGAGUCUGAACCAGCCAAGUAGCGUGAAGAAUGACUGCACUAUGGGUUGUAAACUUCUUUUAUAAAGGAAUAAAACGAGGCACGUGUGCCUUUUUGCAUGUACUUUAUGAAUAAGGAUCGGCUAACUCCGUGCCAGCAGCCGCGGUAAUACGGAGGAUACGAGCGUUAUCCGGAUUUAUUGGGUUUAAAGGGAGCGUAGAUGGGUUGUUAAGUCAGUUGGGAAAGUUUGCGGCUCAACCGUAAAAUUGCACUUGAUACUGGCAGUCUUGCGUACAGUUGCGGUAGUCGGAAUUCGUGGUGUAGCGGUGAACUGCUUAGAUAUCACGAAGCACCCCGAUUGCGAAGGCAGCUUACUAAACUGUGACUGACAUUGAUGCUCGAAAGUGUGGGUAUCAAACAGGAUUAGAUACCCUAGUAGUC